This 479-nucleotide ribosomal RNA is filed under the name uncultured bacterium. RNAcentral describes it as "partial 16S ribosomal RNA". It matches the Rfam family "Bacterial small subunit ribosomal RNA", at positions 28 to 507 of the family's 1533-position model. The record is from RNAcentral.
GAUGAACGCUAGCGGUAGGCCUAACACAUGCAAGCCGAGCGGUAUUGUUUCUUCGGAAAUGAGAGAGCGGCGUACGGGUGCGUAACACGUGUGCAACCUGCCUUUAUCUGGGGGAUAGCCUUUCGAAAGGAAGAUUAAUACUCCAUAAUAUAUUGAACGGCAUCGUUUAAUAUUGAAAGCUCCGGCGGAUAGAGAUGGGCACGCGCAAGAUUAGCUAGUUGGUGAGGUAACGGCUCACCAAGGCGAUGAUCUUUAGGGGGCCUGAGAGGGUGAUCCCCCACACUGGUACUGAGACACGGACCAGACUCCUACGGGAGGCAGCAGUGAGGAAUAUUGGUCAAUGGGUGCAAGCCUGAACCAGCCAUCCCGUGUGAAGGACGACUGCCCUAUGGGUUGUAAACUUCUUUUGUAUAGGGAUAAACCUACCCUCGAGAGGGUAGCUGAGGGUACUAUACGAAUAAGCACCGGCUAACUCCGUG